This 506-nucleotide ribosomal RNA is filed under the name uncultured bacterium. RNAcentral's name for it is "partial 16S ribosomal RNA". It matches the Rfam family "Bacterial small subunit ribosomal RNA", at positions 28 to 523 of the family's 1533-position model. The record is from RNAcentral.
GACGAACGCUGGCGGCGUGCCUAAUACAUGCAAGUCGAGCGGAUCUAUCCGUCGGGAUAGGUUAGCGGCGGACGGGUGAGUGACACGUAGGUAACCUGCCCGUAAGAUCGGGAUAACUACCGGAAACGGUAGCUAAGACCGGAUAGCUGGUUUCUCCGCAUGGAGAGGUCAUGCACCACGGCGUCAGCUGUGACUUACAGAUGGGCCUGUGGCGCAUUUGCUAGUUGGUGAGGUAACGGCCCACCAAGGCGACGAUGCGUAGCCGACCUGAGAGGGUGAACGGCCACACUGGGACUGAGACACGGCCCAGACUCCUACGGGAGGCAGCAGUAGGGAAUCUUCCGCAAUGGACGCAAGUCUGACGGAGCAACGCCGCGUGAGUGAUGAAGGUUUUCGGAUCGUAAAGCUCUGUUGCCAAGGAAGAACGUCGCGGAGAGUAACUGCUCUGCGAAUGACGGUACUUGAGAAGAAAGCCCCGGCUAACUACGUGCCAGCCGCCGCAGUAA